This 65-nucleotide transfer RNA is filed under the name Daphnia galeata. Its description in RNAcentral is "tRNA-Ile". The record is from RNAcentral. Lineage: Eukaryota; Metazoa; Arthropoda; Branchiopoda; Diplostraca; Daphniidae.
AGUCUGGUGCCUGAUAAAAAGGACUACCUUGAUGAGGUAGAAAAUGCAACAUGUUGCCCAGACUA